CAGUAUUUGAUUCGAUUUUAGCACUGUUUUAGCUCUAGACUCUAUUUCAGCUGAAAGAAAUAGGAAACAGGGCCACAUGAAAAAUUUACCCUCUGUUCUUAGAGUAGAAGGGGCAAAAUGACAAGAGUGAUUUGGUAGAUUAUUUAAAAAUGCAUAAAAAAAAUAUUAAAAUAAAGUAGAUUCAUCCGCCAUAUGGAGUUUGUUGCUAAACUAGAAAUUUACCAAAAUUUCUUAAAAGAGAAUGACCAAAUUCAGGGAGAAGACCAGAUCAACAGAAGAAUGGCCACAAUGAAAAUCCAUAUUGAUAAUCAGAUAAGGUUGUGGAGUGAUAGAUGGUAAGAAACUCAGUUAAAGAUAGAUUAUUAUUAUUAUUAUUAUUUUUUUUUUUAUUUGAAGAACAGGAAAUCAAAAACAAUAGGAGGGACUCCAUUAGGUCCACAAUUCUUCUGAAGAUCAAGUCUAGCAAGGACAUGGAAAACACCAUUAAGGAAGAAUCCUAAUAGAAGGCCAUUCCUUCUGACAGGCUUCUGGAGGCUACCUGGCGAGCACCACUGGAUCCACUUUUUUGGGGGGUUCCAAGUCCGACGGAGAUGAAGGUUUCCUUCAGGGAGAUGGCAAAGAGAUGCAGGCUUCAUUUAAAAGGAAAUACAUGUACAGUUCUAAGAGGGAAGGUAUUCUUUCAAGGAGUGAAAAAGUUUAUUCUCUAAACUGAAUAGUGCUGUCUAAGAGUUGGGGUGAAGAAACAGGUAGUUAGUGAGUAUAUAUACACAAGACCACCAACACAUUAAGACAUGUGAUAGAUCCCAUGAGUUAUCUUUGCUACAAAACAUCAAGGGAAAUUAGAAUAAGGAGAGAGAGAGAAAAAAAAAAAAACAUGGAGUAUUAUAGAAAUCCUUAAGAGUCAAUCAACAUUAUUACAAAAAUUAACAAUGACUAGAAUACAGUGCAUGCAUUGCAAAUGACAAUUGCAUAAAAAAUAAAAUGAAGAGUGAAACAGAGAGAGAGAGAGAGAGAGAGAGAGAGAGAGAGAGAGAGAGAGAGAGAUAAAUUUUGUUUGUAAUUAACAUGAGGUUAACCAAGUUAAUUUUAUCCCUGAAUACCAACAAUUAGUGUUUGAUGGACACUUGGUUCUCUGGUGCUUAGUAAAGUAACUUUAGCUAUACAGCAGGACAAAGAAUAAUAGUUGACAUUGAUAAUUCAUUAAUGAGGAACUGCCACAGAGUAAUAGUAAUGACAUUGAGGAGUAGUGUUAUAUUAUGCUACUUUCAGUUAGUAUAUAGAUAUAUUAUGGCUAGCAUUGCAGAAAAAGCUAUUUCCCCGCCUUUCUUUUCUUUCUGUUUCAAAGUUUAUAUUCACAACUAAUUAUUGAUUCACAAAAAGUGCACUUUUUUGCUGAUUUAAGCAUGUUACAUAUUUCCACUGUAUCAUCUCAUAAGGAAACCACUAUGAAAACUAGCACUGAAGUGACCCUUCACAUGAAAUGAUUAACUUGACCAAAGCAUUAACAAGCUGAUCACAAGGUUGUGCAAUACAGUAUUGAAUAUGCAAAUUUUAAUUUGCAUUGCACCUGCUUAAUGAACCACAUAAAAUUUAAAUAUAUUG
Molecule: long non-coding RNA, 1602 nt
Organism: Scylla paramamosain (green mud crab)
Lineage: Eukaryota; Metazoa; Arthropoda; Malacostraca; Decapoda; Portunidae
Exons: 2
Source: RefSeq, a predicted model, not a curated record